GGGUCGAUGGCGUAGCUGGUUAUCGCAUCUGUCUAACACGGCCAAUGUCACAGAAGGUCCUCAGUUCGAACCUGGGUCGACUCA
Molecule: non-coding RNA, 84 nt
Organism: Armillaria mellea
Lineage: Eukaryota; Fungi; Basidiomycota; Agaricomycetes; Agaricales; Physalacriaceae
Source: the annotation of a GenBank genome assembly